RNAcentral lists this ribosomal RNA (500 nucleotides) under uncultured Myrionecta. RNAcentral's name for it is "SSU rRNA". It matches the Rfam family "Eukaryotic small subunit ribosomal RNA", at positions 34 to 598 of the family's 1831-position model. Lineage: Eukaryota; Ciliophora; Litostomatea; Cyclotrichida; Mesodiniidae. The record is from RNAcentral.
AUGUUAAAGAUAAGCCAUGCACGUCUAAGUACAAACUAAAUGAUGGUGAAACUGCAAAUGGCUCAUUACAACGGUUAUGAUGUACCCGGGAGUUCCGAUGGAUAUUUCCAGUAACACUAGAACUAAUACAUGUCCCUGCGUUUAUUAGUUUCGCACAGUCCGUCGCUGAGUCAUGGUAAACAGUUGAUCGACUCGACGUCCCGGAACAGUUUCCGCCCCAUCAGCUUCGAUGGUUGGGUAUUGGCCUACCAUUGCAACAACGGGUAACGAGGAAUUAGGGUUUGAUUUCGGAGAGGGAGCCUGAGAAACGGCUACCACAUCUACGGAUGGCAGCAGGCGCGCAAAUUACCCAAUGCAGACACUGUGAGGUAGUGACGAGAAAUAAUAAAGCGGGACUUCUGUUUCGCUAUUAUAAUGAGGAAUAACCAAAGGUCAUUCCGAUUAGCAACUGAUGGGAAAGUCUGGUGCCAGCAGCCGCGGUAAUACCAGCGUCAGUAGCA